AGUGAAUAGAUACCCAGGUAGUCCACGCCGUAAACGAUGUUCACUAGGUGUUGGGGGUAUUGACCCUCUCAGUGCCGGAGCUAAACGCAUUAAGUGAACCGCCUGGGGAGUACGGUCGCAAGACUAAAACUCAAAGGAAUUGACGGGGGCCCGGCACAAGCGGUGGAGCAUGUGGUUUAAAUUCGAUGCAACGCGAAGAACCUUACCUGGACUUGACAUCCCGGGAAUCUCCUGGAAACAGGAGAGUGCCUUUCGGGGAACCCGGGAGACAGGUGCUGCAUGGCUGUCGUCAGCUCGUGUCGUGAGAUGUUGGGUUAAGUCCCGCAACGAGCGCAACCCUUGUCUUUAAUUGCCAGCAUUCAGUUGGGCACUUUAGAGAGACUGCCGGUGUUAAGCCGGAGGAAGGUGGGGAUGACGUCAAGUCCUCAUGGCCUUUAUGUCCAGGGCUACACGCGUGCUACAAUGGAUGGUACAAAGAGCAGCGACCUCGCGAGAGUGAGCAAAUCUCAAAAACCCAUCCUCAGUUCGGAUUGGAGUCU
This 539-nucleotide ribosomal RNA is filed under the name uncultured bacterium. Its description in RNAcentral is "bacterial SSU rRNA". It matches the Rfam family "Bacterial small subunit ribosomal RNA", at positions 773 to 1306 of the family's 1533-position model. The record is from RNAcentral.